AACGAACGCUGGCGGCAUGCCUAACACAUGCAAGUCGAACGAGACCUUCGGGUCUAGUGGCGCACGGGUGCGUAACGCGUGGGAAUCUGCCCUUGGGUUCGGAAUAACUUCGGGAAACUGAAGCUAAUACCGGAUGAUGACGUAAGUCCAAAGAUUUAUCGCCCAAGGAUGAGCCCGCGUAGGAUUAGCUAGUUGGUGAGGUAAAGGCUCACCAAGGCGACGAUCCUUAGCUGGUCUGAGAGGAUGAUCAGCCACACUGGGACUGAGACACGGCCCAGACUCCUACGGGAGGCAGCAGUGGGGAAUAUUGGACAAUGGGCGAAAGCCUGAUCCAGCAAUGCCGCGUGAGUGAUGAAGGCCUUAGGGUUGUAAAGCUCUUUCACCGGUGAAGAUAAUGACGGUAACCGGAGAAGAAGCCCCGGCUAACUUCGUGCCAGCAGCCGCGGUAAAGUGACUACUG
This 460-nucleotide ribosomal RNA is filed under the name uncultured bacterium. RNAcentral describes it as "bacterial SSU rRNA". It matches the Rfam family "Bacterial small subunit ribosomal RNA", at positions 29 to 531 of the family's 1533-position model. The record is from RNAcentral.